This 7874-nucleotide long non-coding RNA is filed under the name Arabidopsis lyrata. RNAcentral describes it as "long non-coding RNA (ALYR_LNC001872)". Lineage: Eukaryota; Viridiplantae; Streptophyta; Magnoliopsida; Brassicales; Brassicaceae. The record is from RNAcentral.
UGUUGGUUGGGCUUGAUUCCUUGGAUUUAGCUUUUGGGAUUUGCGUUUGGACCUUUGCGCUUCUGCUCUAUUGGAUCUUCUGAUUCUUGGUUAAGGGCUAGGUUUUGAUUUUGAGUUUGUCAUUCGGAUGGUAUUUCGUUGUGAGGUCAUCUACUAUCCCCUUCUCUCGGCUGCUUUGUUGUAGUCUGAUGGGUUUCAGGCCAAGCAAUGGACUCGACCUUCUGCUCUUCUCUUGCGAGGACGUCACUAGUUUCAUGACGGUAGAUGGCGGAAGCUAGGUUGACGAGUGUCCGUGUGUAAGAGUGGUUUUUCUUCUUUGACUUAUCUCAGGUCAAAUCUCAAGGGUUGUCUCUUUGUUCCUAGCUCUUUGACUGUUCUGGUUUGGCGCGACGGUGGCAGUUUCUGUUUCUCUGUUUUCAGUGGGCUCUGCUUUCAUUCUUGUCGGCGUGCUAUUGGUUUGACUUCGGUUAUAUGGCACAUCCGGUCUCCUUGAGGCUGCUCGACGCUAAAGGUUCUAUGGGAAGUUAAGUGAAGUCUACUGUUUCAGCUGGUCGGUUUUAGAGCAUUGAUCCAUUUUGAUCCUUAGUGUAUGUCCAUCUUGCCUUGUAGUUUUAGUUAUGGAUAUGACUUCCCUUUCAUAGGGCUUUAGACUCCGGGUGAUGCGUCACACGGUCACGGAAAUAGCCUUCGGGACGAUGGUACGGUCGGCGAUCGGUACGGACAGGGCCUUCGGUUACGACGGUUACGGCGGUUACGGCGGUUACGGCGGUUACGGGACGGCGAGGGAGGUUGACGAUGAGUAGCUCGAAUCGCCUAGACUCCAAAGAGAUGAUUUGCAAGGGUGGGUAGCGACAACCGGUGAGUAUCUCGAACCGGUGGUGACUUGGAGAAGAGGGGUGUGAAGGCGGAACGAGGUAACGACACACGAGGGAUGGUGGGCUCGUGAUACGGUUACACUUAGAGGCUUUGAAUCCGAUUCAAAGACUCUAAGGAGCUCUCAAUGUUUUCGCAACAAAUGAGAAAAGGAAAGGACUGAUUUUUAUUUCAAAAGAAGCUAACCCUUACAAGUGACUUAGAGGGCCUUUAUAUAGGCGUUUACAAGGGAGACUCAUAAAACCCUAAAGCAAACAGUCAAAGCGCGGGUCAACAAGGAUAGACGUGUCAAAAUACAAACCAUAAGACAAGAAGAGCCUAACGGCUUUAUUACGAAAGGAAGGAGAGAUGGCCACGUCAUGCGGAGAUGCGUGGUCAUGCGCUAGCGUACGUUGGCCUCGUUAAAACCCUCUUGGUAAACCACGUGGGAUAAACCCAAGUAGGGAAAAAGAGUACCACGUCCAACUAGUGACUUUGAUGCCUUCACCUAGUGAUGGUGAAGACGGUCCGGACAAGCUCAUGAUCGUCCGGAUGGUCGAGUCCAAUGGGGCCGUAUGGCCGUGGGUCGUGUACUUGGAUGAACUCUUCCGCGAAGGCAUUGCACUUGAUCCUGAGAUUGCGUGCAGCUCCCCUUGACCUUGUGACAGCUCCCGGAAGGAUUUGAGGUACCUUGGUCGCCGGUAGUGUCCCGUGGGUCGCUCCGGGUUGGUCCAUGUUCCGUCCCUCGUCCCGGCCCUCGUCCGGAUCGUUGCUCGUAUGCUGUCCGGUAGGUUGGGUCUCAUUAUCCCCUCCCCCUUGGGAAGGUUCUGACCUCAGAACUCCUUCAUCAUUCCCUACAUCAAAAGGAACCAAAUCAGAAACAUUGAAGGAAGUAGAUGUGUUAUACGUACCGGGUAGCUCCAAGCGGUAGGCGUUGUCGUUGAUCCGCUCGAUGACUUGGAAAGGGCCAUCUCCUCUUGGGCUAAGCUUGUCCUUUCUACGUUGUGGGAACCGCUCCGGUCUUAAGUGUAACCAAACCCAAUCUCCCGGCUUGAAAAUCAUGGCUUUGCGGUGUUGGUUGGCUUUUCGCGCGUAUUGCUCGGUUCUUUUUUCUAGAUUUUCCCGGACUUCGGUGUGUAACUUCUUGAUCAGUUCGGCCUUGGCUAAUCCGUCUUGACAUUCUAUCUCAUUGGGUGGUAAGGGUAGCAAACUCGCGGGGGUUAAAGGUUUGAAUCCGUAGGCCACUUCAAAUGGAGACUUCUUCGUUGCCGAAUGCACGGACUGAUUGUAUGCGAACUCCAUAAGGGGAAGUAGCUCUAACCAAGUGCCCGGAUUGCUUGCCACGGUGGUCCGGAUCAAGGCGCCUAAGGUUCGGUUGACGACCUCCGUUUGACCAUCCGUUUGAGGAUGACACGCGGUUGAGUAUAGUAGCUUAGUUCCCAUCUUUCUCCAUAAAGUCCUCCAAAAGUGACCAAGGAACUUGGGGUCUCGGUCCGACACGAUGCUACGGGGUAUCCAUGGAGCCUCACAACUUCCCGAAAGAACAAGUUGGCUAAGGCCGUGGCGUCCGAUGUCUUGUUGCAAGGUAUAAAGUGAGCCAUUUUGGAAAAUCGGUCUACUACGACGAAAAUGGAGUCUUUGCGGUAUUGGAUAGGCAAUCCAAGCAAGAAAUCCAUAGAUAAAUCGACCCAUGGUGCAUUCGGAAUCGGUAGGGGCUUGUAGAGGCCAUGUGGCCAUGGGGUGGCCUUGGCGGUACGGCAAGUGAUGCAACGGCCUACGAACUUCUCGACCAUCCGCUUCAUCUUAGGCCAAUAAAAAUGUUCCUUUAAGACUUCCAAAGUCUUAGUAACCCCAAAAUGCCCGGUUAGGCCUCCUCCAUGUGACUCUUGCAUUAGUAGGGUCCUAAUAGAUCCGGCGGGUAUGCAAAGCCUUUUGUCCCGAAAGAGAAACCCGUCUUGGAUGUAGAACCGUGAGUGAAUUCCUUUGCCGUGAUCCCUAUAACUCUCCCCAAACUCCGGAUCUUCUUUGUAAACUUCCUUGAUCCCUUCAAAACCCAAAACCCUUGCCUCCAUGGUUGUGAUCAACGCGUGUCUUCUUGAUAGCGCGUCGGCUACGACAUUUUCUUUGCCCUUCUUGUACUUGAUAACGUAUGGGAAAGCCUCUAUAAACUCUAGCCACUUCGCGUGUCUCUUCUUCAAGUUGGUUUGGCCUCUAAGAUGUUUCAAGGUCUCAUGGUCCGUAUGGAUCACAAAUUCCCUCGGUAGUAGAUAAUGUUGCCAAGUCUCCAUAGCUCGGACCAAAGCGUAUAACUCCUUAUCAUAAGUCGGAUAGUUGAGGGUAGGGCCAUGUAACUUCUCACUAAAGUAGGCCACGGGUUUGCCUCCUUGGGUUAGGACCGCUCCAAUCCCGAUGCCGGAUGCAUCACACUCUACUUCAAAGGUCUUCUCAAAACUUGGUAGAACUAGGAGAGGCGCUUGUGUUAAUCUCCUCUUUAGCUCUUGAAAUGACGCUUCUUGACUCGAUCCCCAAGUGAAUUCUUCACUCUUCUUAGUGAUGGCGGUAAGAGGUGCGGCUACAGUGCUAAAGUCCUUGACAAAACGCCGGUAGAAACUUGCUAAACCAUGAAAGCUUCUCACUUGACUAACGGUUGUCGGUGUAGGCCAUUCCUCUAUUGCUCGAAUUUUCUCUUGAUCCACUCUAAGGCCCUGCUCACUCACAACAAAACCUAGAAAAACUAGUUCAUUAGUACCAAAGACACACUUCUUGAAGUUAGCGUAUAGCUUUUCUUCUCGAAGUGUGACCAAGACCAUCUCUAGAUGGACCAAGUGAUCCUCUAGGCUACGGCUAUAGAUUAAAAUAUCAUCAAAAUAGACCACAACAAACUUAUUAAUGAAAGAUCUAAGGAUGUGAUUCAUUAACCGCAUAAAGGUGGAUGGGGCGUUGGAGAGGCCAAAUGGCAUGACUAGCCAUUCGUAGAGUCCUUGCUUGGUCUUGAAAGCCGUUUUCCAUUCAUCACCCUCUUUCAUUCGGACUUGGUGGUAACCACUCUUGAGGUCAAUCUUGGUGAAAAUAAUGGCUCCAUCCAACUCAUCUAGCAUAUCAUCAAGCCUUGGGAUUGGAUGUCUAUACUUCACGGUUAUGUUGUUGAUGGCCCUACAAUCCACGCACAUUCGCCAUGUUCCAUCUUUCUUAGGUACUAGGAGAACUGGUACGGCACAAGGGCUAAGGCUCUCUCGGACAUAUCCUUGCUUCAUGAGGUCUCCCACUUGCUUCUCUAGUUCUUUAGCUUCGGUUGGGUUGACUCUAUAGGCGGGUCUAUUUGGCAAUUGAGCUCCCGGAAUAAGAUCUAUUUGAUGUUCAAUCCCUCGGAUAGGUGGCAAGCCAUGCGGUAGUUCUUCCGGAAACACAUCUUGAAAACGCUUGAUGAUGGCCUUAAUCUCCUCCGGAAUGUCCUUGCCUUCACAAUCUAUAGUCAAAACAUCUUUAAAGACCAUUAGUAACACUUGGCAAGAGGAGUCACAUAGUGAUCUCCUAACAUCACUAGAAUUAACCAAGAAAUUCGACUUAGAGCUAGGUUCACUAGACAUUUUCGAUUGCAUUUCAUUGACUUGGGUGGGUGACAAAGGCUUUAAGAAAAUCCGUUUACUAUUAUGGAUAAAAGUAUACUCAUUGGUAAGGCCACAAUGCGAUGUCUUCUUAUCAAAUUGCCAAGGCCGACCCAACAAUAGGUGGCUAGCUUGCAUUGGGACAACAUCGCAUAAGACUUGGUCUUGGUAGGGGCCAACACUAAAAGAAACUAGACACGUGUUCCGAGACUUGGAUUACGGAUUUGUUGUUCAACCAUUUAAGCUUAUAAGGUUUGGGAUGGCUUGUGGUAGCCAAAGAAAGUUUCUUGACCAUAUAAGAACUCGCAACAUUGGUGCAAGAGCCCCCAUCUAUGAUCAAGCCACAAACCUUCCCACUUACCAUGCACCGGGUGUGGAAGAUGUUGUCGCGUAGGUUGGAGUCGUCCAUGGCUUGGCUUGUGCUUAGCAUGCGGCGGAUCAUGAGAAGUUCUCCAACUUCCGGUUCGGCAAUGGCUUCCUCGAUCUCGGAGUUAAUGCCUUGGCCUUGUGGGGCGUCGUCUUCGUCUUGGGAUUCAUAGUCUCCGGCGGUGGUGAUGAUCAUGGUGCGUUGGUUGGGGCAGUCUCGGGCAUAAUGACCUCGGCCUUGACACUUGAAGCAAAUGAUGUCUCGGGUCCUUGAGUCGGAGGGUUGAGGUCUUGGGUCGGGACGGUUGUCUUUGGUGGUCUCUCGGGGCUUGAAUCUUGUGUCGAUACGGGCGGCUUUGGGUUCGGUGGUACCCCGGUUGGUCUUGUCGGCUACUCGGUUGUUCCCAUGAGACGGUGAGGCGUUAGGCGACCAACUUGGAAGUCCUUGUCCCUUGGUCCGGAUGGUGCUUGCAAUUUUCUUCUUGAUUUGUUGUUCUACUUGGAUAGCUAGGUGCAACAUCUCCUCAAACCCUUGGUAAGAUUGGCGUUCAACCUUCCUUGUGAUCCGGUCAUUCAAUCCGUCUAAGAAUUGGGCCAUCAAAGCCUCUUCGGUCUCUUCUAGUUGUAAACGGUUCCUCAAGUGCUCAAAGUCCUCAUAAUAUUCCUCAACGCUUUUUAUUCCUUGAGUGAGCUUCCUAAAUCGCCGUUGUAGGUCACGGCUAAAGUAUUGGGGAAUGUAUCGGCGUCUCAUGAUGGCCUUCAUUGCGUCCUAAGUGGCCACGGGUCUCUCGUGAUUACGUCGUCGGUCGUCGACGUCGCGGUCCCAACAAGUAAGGGCAUGGUCCGUGAAUUGAGCGGCGGCUAUAAUGACCUUUCGUAUCUCCGGGUAGUUGUAACAAGAGAAAACCUUGUCCAUUCGGCCUUCCCAUUGUAGGUAGGCCUCCGGGUCAACCUUUCCCGCAAAGGUUGGGACGGUAAGCUUGCAGGAGGGUCCGGUGAGAUUAGGACCCAUUGGUCGUUCGUUGUCCCGUCGGUUGUUUCUUCGUCUUGGAUAGUCGGGGUCUUCUUCAUCCGACGUGUGUCCCUCAACUUGACCUUGAUCUUGUUCUUGGUCGUCGACUGGUGGUAGUCUUUGGUCUCGGACCCGUCGUACAAGGGGCACGGGUGGUGGUAUAGCUUGCUCCAAGAGAUAAAGCCGAUCAUCAAUCCGUCUCAUUUGAGCUUGGAUUUGGGUCAGAAUAACUCCAAGGUCGGGUGGAGGAGCGGGUGCUAUAGGUGGGUCUUGUCCGGCCAUAGUACGGAUUCUGGUAUCCGGGAAAUGUCAGACGGCGGCUGGUGGUCGAUGGUACGUAUGGUCGUUGUCGUGGUCCGUUUGGUCCGUACGGCUAGCGAGGUUCGUUCCCCCUGUCCCAAACAAAGAACACGUGCGUUUUAAGGUUGCGAUAUGUUGAUAAGAUGGAAUCAAUUUCAACAAAGGUGACAGCUCAUGAUUGGAGAGAGAACGGUCAAAAAGCAACAAAAAGCAACCUAAGACCAAAACAAAAACGCUAGAGGACAAACGGUACGAAACCGUGUGACCCAAAACGAUACACGUGGUUUCAAGGCCACCAAACUACAGCGAUAACACUAAGGAACAAAACAACUAAAGAUCUAACAGCCUAAAAAGAUGAAAAACACGGUGAAAAGCACGAUGAACACGAAGAACACGAAAAAAACCAAAACCGGCUAAAACGAAAAGCGACUUCAAACGAGUGGUUUUCAAGGCCACGAAACAAAAACCCGAAGCAAAACUCAAGCUUUUAACCCAAAGUGAUACUAAACACACAAAAAGACUAAGACUUUCUAAGAGAAACAAGAAGGGAAGGCGAAGAACACAAGGAAAGCAAACCUUUUUUUUUUUUUUUUUGAAAUGAAACAACAGUAAACAACACAAAGAGAACUAAGAAGGAUAGAUACAACCUUAGGAACGUUCGGCUCUGAUACCAAAAACUGAUGCGUCACACGGUCACGGAAAUAGCCUUCGGGACGAUGGUACGGUCGGCGAUCGGUACGGACAGGGCCUUCGGUUACGGCGGUUACGGCGGUUACGGCGGUUACGGCGGUUACGGGACGGCGAGGGAGGUUGACGAUGAGUAGCUCGAAUCGCCUAGACUCCAAAGAGAUGAUUUGCAAGGGUGGGUAGCGACAACCGGUGAGUAUCUCGAACCGGUGGUGACUUGGAGAAGAGGGGUGUGAAGGCGGAACGAGGUAACGACACACGAGGGAUGGUGGGCUCGUGAUACGGUUACACUUAGAGGCUUUGAAUCCGAUUCAAAGACUCUAAGGAGCUCUCAAUGUUUUCGCAACAAAUGAGAAAAAGAAAGGACUGAUUUUUAUUUCAAAGAAGCUAACCCUUACAAGUGACUUAGAGGGCCUUUAUAUAGGCGUUUACAAGGGAGACUCAUAAAACCCUAAAGCAAACAGUCAAAGCGCGGGUCAACAAGGAUAGACGUGUCAAAAUACAAACCAUAAGACAAGAAGAGCCUAACGGCUUUAUUACGAAAGGAAGGAGAGAUGGCCACGUCAUGCGGAGAUGCGUGGUCAUGCGCUAGCGUACGUUGGCCUCGUUAAAACCCUCUUGGUAAACCACGUGGGAUAAACCCAAGUAGGGAAAAAGAGUACCACGUCCAACUAGUGACUUUGAUGCCUUCACCUAGUGAUGGUGAAGACGGUCCGGACAAGCUCAUGAUCGUCCGGAUGGUCGAGUCCAAUGGGGCCGUAUGGCCGUGGGUCGUGUACUUGGAUGAACUCUUCCGCGAAGGCAUUGCACUUGAUCCUGAGAUUGCGUGCAGCUCCCCUUGACCUUGUGACAGCUCCCGGAAGGAUUUGAGGUACCUUGGUCGCCGGUAGUGUCCCGUGGGUCGCUCCGGGUUGGUCCAUGUUCCGUCCCUCGUCCCGGCCCUCGUCCGGAUCGUUGCUCGUAUGCUGUCCGGUAGGUUGGGUCUCAUUACCGGGGAAAUCUUGUUUUCCGCCGGUUUUAGACUCUAGGGAAAUCUUGUUUUCCGCCGGCUU